This 253-nucleotide ribosomal RNA is filed under the name uncultured bacterium. RNAcentral describes it as "partial 16S ribosomal RNA". It matches the Rfam family "Bacterial small subunit ribosomal RNA", at positions 524 to 776 of the family's 1533-position model. The record is from RNAcentral.
UACGAAGGGGGCUAGCGUUGCUCGGAAUGACUGGGCGUAAAGGGCGCGUAGGCGGCUUGCACCGUCAGAUGUGAAAUUCCUGGGCUUAACCUGGGGGCUGCAUUUGAUACGUGGUUGCUUGAGUGGGGAAGAGGGUCGUGGAAUUCCCAGUGUAGAGGUGAAAUUCGUAGAUAUUGGGAAGAACACCGGUGGCGAAGGCGGCGACCUGGUCCUUGACUGACGCUGAGGCGCGAAAGCGUGGGGAGCAAACAGG